Molecule: ribosomal RNA, 738 nt
Filed under: uncultured Dermacoccus sp.
Lineage: Bacteria; Bacillati; Actinomycetota; Actinomycetes; Micrococcales; Dermacoccaceae
Description: bacterial SSU rRNA
Rfam family: Bacterial small subunit ribosomal RNA
Source: RNAcentral
GACGAACGCUGGCGGCGUGCUUAACACAUGCAAGUCGAACGAUGAAGCACCAGCUUGCUGGUGUGGAUUAGUGGCGAACGGGUGAGUAACACGUGAGUAACCUGCCCCUCACUCUGGGAUAAGCCUGGGAAACUGGGUCUAAUACUGGAUACGACCGAUCUCCGCAUGGAGUGUUGGUGGAAAGUUUUUGUGGUGGGGGAUGGACUCGCGGCCUAUCAGCUUGUUGGUGGGGUAGUGGCCUACCAAGGCGACGACGGGUAGCCGGCCUGAGAGGGCGACCGGCCACACUGGGACUGAGACACGGCCCAGACUCCUACGGGAGGCAGCAGUGGGGAAUAUUGCACAAUGGGCGAAAGCCUGAUGCAGCGACGCCGCGUGAGGGAUGACGGCCUUCGGGUUGUAAACCUCUUUCACCAGGGACGAAGCUAACGUGACGGUACCUGGAGAAGAAGCACCGGCUAACUACGUGCCAGCAGCCGCGGUAAUACGUAGGGUGCGAGCGUUGUCCGGAAUUAUUGGGCGUAAAGAGCUUGUAGGCGGUUUGUCGCGUCUGCUGUGAAAGACCGGGGCUUAACUCCGGUUCUGCAGUGGGUACGGGCAGACUAGAGUGUGGUAGGGGAGACUGGAAUUCCUGGUGUAGCGGUGAAAUGCGCAGAUAUCAGGAGGAACACCGAUGGCGAAGGCAGGUCUCUGGGCCAUUACUGACGCUGAGAAGCGAAAGCAUGGGGAGCGAACAGG